This 469-nucleotide ribosomal RNA is filed under the name uncultured bacterium. Its description in RNAcentral is "bacterial SSU rRNA". It matches the Rfam family "Bacterial small subunit ribosomal RNA", at positions 328 to 794 of the family's 1533-position model. The record is from RNAcentral.
GGGCCAGACUCCUACGGGAGGCAGCAGUGAGGAAUAUUGGUCAAUGGGCGGGAGCCUGAACCAGCCAAGUCGCGUGAGGGAAGACGGUCCUAUGGAUUGUAAACCUCUUUAGGCGGGGAGCAAUGCCGGGCACGCGUGCCCGGAGGGAGAGUACCCGGAGAAAAAGCAUCGGCUAACUCCGUGCCAGCAGCCGCGGUAAUACGGAGGAUGCGAGCGUUAUCCGGAUUUAUUGGGUUUAAAGGGUGCGCAGGCGGCGAGUUAAGUCAGCGGUAAAAUUUCGGGGCUCAACCCCGACAAGCCGUCGAAACUGGCUUGCUAGAGUGGGCGAGAAGUAUGCGGAAUGCGUGGUGUAGCGGUGAAAUGCAUAGAUAUCACGCAGAACUCCGAUUGCGAAGGCAGCAUACCGGAGCCCAACUGACGCUGAAGCACGAAAGCGUGGGUAUCGAACAGGAUUAGAUACCCGUGUAAU